Molecule: non-coding RNA, 1627 nt
Organism: Saccharomyces cerevisiae (brewer's yeast)
Lineage: Eukaryota; Fungi; Ascomycota; Saccharomycetes; Saccharomycetales; Saccharomycetaceae
Source: Rfam
AUUUAUAAGAAUAUGAUGUUGGUUCAGAUUAAGCGCUAAAUAAGGACAUGACACAUGCGAAUCAUACGUUUAUUAUUGAUAAGAUAAUAAAUAUGUGGUGUAAACGUGAGUAAUUUUAUUAGGAAUUAAUGAACUAUAGAAUAAGCUAAAUACUUAAUAUAUUAUUAUAUAAAAAUAAUUUAUAUAAUAAAAAGGAUAUAUAUAUAAUAUAUAUUUAUCUAUAGUCAAGCCAAUAAUGGUUUAGGUAGUAGGUUUAUUAAGAGUUAAACCUAGCCAACGAUCCAUAAUCGAUAAUGAAAGUUAGAACGAUCACGUUGACUCUGAAAUAUAGUCAAUAUCUAUAAGAUACAGCAGUGAGGAAUAUUGGACAAUGAUCGAAAGAUUGAUCCAGUUACUUAUUAGGAUGAUAUAUAAAAAUAUUUUAUUUUAUUUAUAAAUAUUAAAUAUUUAUAAUAAUAAUAAUAAUAAUAUAUAUAUAUAAAUUGAUUAAAAAUAAAAUCCAUAAAUAAUUAAAAUAAUGAUAUUAAUUACCAUAUAUAUUUUUAUAUGGAUAUAUAUAUUAAUAAUAAUAUUAAUUUUAUUAUUAUUAAUAAUAUAUUUUAAUAGUCCUGACUAAUAUUUGUGCCAGCAGUCGCGGUAACACAAAGAGGGCGAGCGUUAAUCAUAAUGGUUUAAAGGAUCCGUAGAAUGAAUUAUAUAUUAUAAUUUAGAGUUAAUAAAAUAUAAUUAAAGAAUUAUAAUAGUAAAGAUGAAAUAAUAAUAAUAAUUAUAAGACUAAUAUAUGUGAAAAUAUUAAUUAAAUAUUAACUGACAUUGAGGGAUUAAAACUAGAGUAGCGAAACGGAUUCGAUACCCGUGUAGUUCUAGUAGUAAACUAUGAAUACAAUUAUUUAUAAUAUAUAUUAUAUAUAAAUAAUAAAUGAAAAUGAAAGUAUUCCACCUGAAGAGUACGUUAGCAAUAAUGAAACUCAAAACAAUAGACGGUUACAGACUUAAGCAGUGGAGCAUGUUAUUUAAUUCGAUAAUCCACGACUAACCUUACCAUAUUUUGAAUAUUAUAAUAAUUAUUAUAAUUAUUAUAUUACAGGCGUUACAUUGUUGUCUUUAGUUCGUGCUGCAAAGUUUUAGAUUAAGUUCAUAAACGAACAAAACUCCAUAUAUAUAAUUUUAAUUAUAUAUAAUUUUAUAUUAUUUAUUAAUAUAAAGAAAGGAAUUAAGACAAAUCAUAAUGAUCCUUAUAAUAUGGGUAAUAGACGUGCUAUAAUAAAAUGAUAAUAAAAUUAUAUAAAAUAUAUUUAAUUAUAUUUAAUUAAUAAUAUAAAACAUUUUAAUUUUUAAUAUAUUUUUUUAUUAUAUAUUAAUAUGAAUUAUAAUCUGAAAUUCGAUUAUAUGAAAAAAGAAUUGCUAGUAAUACGUAAAUUAGUAUGUUACGGUGAAUAUUCUAACUGUUUCGCACUAAUCACUCAUCACGCGUUGAAACAUAUUAUUAUCUUAUUAUUUAUAUAAUAUUUUUUAAUAAAUAUUAAUAAUUAUUAAUUUAUAUUUAUUUAUAUCAGAAAUAAUAUGAAUUAAUGCGAAGUUGAAAUACAGUUACCGUAGGGGAACCUGCGGUGGGCUUAUAAAUAUC